Molecule: unclassified non-coding RNA, 234 nt
Filed under: Hevea brasiliensis (rubber tree)
Lineage: Eukaryota; Viridiplantae; Streptophyta; Magnoliopsida; Malpighiales; Euphorbiaceae
Source: RNAcentral
AAAAAUAAUCAAACCAAAACGGCAAUAUUUGAAUGGAAAAAAAAUGUUAGGUGUUGAUCACAAACUCGAUGACCAAGCACUUACGUGUUGAUUUCAUUGAAUCCUUCACCUGGACUCCAGUGUCUACAUGUUGUACAACUGCUUCCAAGGGACGAUCUCCCAGCCAAGGCAGCAACAAAGAGCAAAAAAUUUAGAAGAUAUGCACAAAGUUCAUUAAAACCAUGAGACAAAAAA